AUUGAACGCUGGCGGCAGGCCUAACACAUGCAAGUCGAGCGGAUGAAGGGAGCUUGCUCCUGGAUUCAGCGGCGGACGGGUGAGUAAUGCCUAGGAAUCUGCCUGGUAGUGGGGGAUAACGUCCGGAAACGGGCGCUAAUACCGCAUACGUCCUGAGGGAGAAAGUGGGGGAUCUUCGGACCUCACGCUAUCAGAUGAGCCUAGGUCGGAUUAGCUAGCUGGUGGGGUAAAGGCCUACCAAGGCGACGAUCCGUAACUGGUCUGAGAGGACGAUCAGUCACACUGGAACUGAGACACGGUCCAGACUCCUACGGGAGGCAGCAGUGGGGAAUAUUGGAUAAUGGGCGAAAGCCUGAUCCAGCCAUGCCGCGUGUGUGAAGAAGGUCUUCGGAUUGUAAAGCACUUUAAGUUGGGAGGAAGGGCAGUAAGUUAAUACCUUGCUGUUUUGACGUUACCAACAGAAUAAGCACCGGCUAACUUCGUG
This 484-nucleotide ribosomal RNA is filed under the name uncultured bacterium. RNAcentral describes it as "partial 16S ribosomal RNA". It matches the Rfam family "Bacterial small subunit ribosomal RNA", at positions 30 to 507 of the family's 1533-position model. The record is from RNAcentral.